This is a long non-coding RNA of Frieseomelitta varia, 1571 nucleotides long. RefSeq lists it as uncharacterized. NCBI's taxonomy places the organism in Eukaryota, Metazoa, Arthropoda, Insecta, Hymenoptera, Apidae. The transcript has 3 exons. The record is from RefSeq and is a predicted model, not a curated record.
UUGAAAGGUAUUCAGAACAGAAUUCGUUAUUAAUUGUUUCAUUGUUCGUUUCAUCUCGGUACAGUCGCUCGUACGAUUGUUAAUGCUCUCUGAAUGUCGCGUAUCUCCGAGGACGUUGCUUCUGACAUAAUAUCGCGUAAGCCAGAGAAUCCAUUCUUAUCGUUGUUAAGCUAUCUUGCGUCAAUUACGAUCGGCGAUAAAUUUUCUCUUAUGAAGUUACUUGAAUUUUUAAGCUGUACUGCGCACAUCCUUCUGGAGUAGUCUUGCCGACUCUCACUUAGAAUGAUCACAAGCUUGAAAAUUAUUUUUAGCUUACGUCGUAUCUCCGAGCAUAAUCGUUGGAUUACCAGCUUGGCGUAUCGUUAUUGCCGCUGCAUUUUCUAGUAGCACGUGUCAUUGAAAUCGCACAAACACGUACAUAACACAUACAUGUUGAUGGUUAUUGUACCUGGCACGGUAUUGUGCAAUUCGGAGAAUUUUCAUUGUCUUUGAUCUACGACUAUUUUUGUUUUCUCCUUGGAUAUUAGUCGAACGUACGUAAUCGAUAUUUUAAAAAAAAAUCGCCCAAACCUACUGCUUUUCUCUCUUUUGAGACAUUAAAUGAUUGACAGUUUUGCUCGCAAGUGUCGUCGUUGUAUUUGUCGUUAUUUGAAAAUUCGCAUCUAAGAUAGGAUCAGCGUUGUGCAACGGCAAAACUAUAGAUCUCAGAGUUUUAUUGCCAUUAGUUUUUCUUUUUUUUCUUCUUGCUGCGUUCUUCUGUGAUCGAUAUUGUUUACAAUUUUUACACACGCGCGUGCGUCAACAGGGUUACGUCUUCUUCAAUAAAAUUUGUCAUUAAACUUUAUUUUUUCACGUUUUUUUCACUUUCAGUUUCACAUAAUAACUCUGGUAUUUUUUCGUCACGCGUUAUAGUUGGUCCCACUAAAGAUUUCGCAGCGUUGAUAACGUUUGAAACCGCGAUGGCCAUUCCAAAAAGAAGAUUCGUUGCAGUUCCAUUUAUAUUUGUUCGCGAUGCACAGACUUUUCGGUACUCCUCGAAAGAAAUUCGGAAUAAACGUGAACCCGGAACGAAACCCGACUGUCCGAUGCAAAUUAGUAAAAGUCGUCACGAAUUGUUACGAAAUACGUUCGUCCUCGAUUCACCUGGAUUUCUGUCGAGUUUCCCUCAAAAACGCGGACUGUCGCGUUCGUUACGUUACGUGCACUCCGAUCCUCUGUUGAUCGUACGUGCGUUCUUGAACUUCCGCUUUUGCUCGCACUCGAUGCGUCUUCUUUUUUUCUUCUUUGGCGUCGUAAGAGUUUUGAAAGUGGCACAAGUCAUUUUGCAGUAAUGGCAAUAGUAGUCUCUCCGAGAUGACAAACGCAGGCAAAUCAUGUUGAAAGUUGGCAUCAAUUUUUCUAGGCACGAGUUCAACAUGCAAGUUCUUAAAUUUGUGCCUCGAUUUAAAAACAAAGUGACUGGUACCACAUUCGGAAAAGUACAUGAGCAGCAGAGUAAAAUAUUCCCACGAUAAGUCCAAUGUCAUUGAACAAAUUGAUGAAAUAAUAAUAAUAAUACAACUUGGCGUACA